Molecule: long non-coding RNA, 1163 nt
Filed under: Selaginella moellendorffii
Lineage: Eukaryota; Viridiplantae; Streptophyta; Lycopodiopsida; Selaginellales; Selaginellaceae
Description: long non-coding RNA (SMOE_LNC001191)
Source: RNAcentral
ACCAGACGUGGCUGAGAGGUGCCAAGAUUUGGCACUGUGCUGCAUUGAGCGCCAAGGUAACGGCACUAGCAAGCUGAGCAAGGCGCUAGGGUGUGAUCGAGCAGAGACUGGCCCGGAGGCACUGGCAGAGGUGCUGAGAGAGGGCUGGCUUGAGGCACCGAGUGGUACUGGAGUGCUGAGUGAGGCGCUGGAGAGCAGCCGAAGGCGCUAGCAGAGGCGCUGAGAGGAGGCACCGAGCAGAGACUGCACUAGGGCGCUGAGCAAGGUGCUGAGAGGCGGAGAGACUGCACUAGGGCGCUGAGCAAGGCGCUGAGGCGCUGGCACAGGCGCUGAGAGAGGGCUGGCGUGAGGCACCGAGCACAGGCACGAGCAGAUAGGCACUGGCAGAGGCGCUGAGAGAGGAGAGACUGCGAUCAGAGGCCGUGAACGAGGCGCUAGGGCGUGCGAGGCCUCGUAGAGACUCACCAGAGGUGAGUGCCGGGCCUAGAGGCACGAGGCACCGAGGGCUGGCCAAGCAGAGACUCCACUGGAGCGCUGAGUGAGGCGCUGCUGUGAGAAGGCAUUGGCAGAGGCGCUGAGAGGAGGCACUGAGCAGAGACAGAUUUCUGUCGUGGAUAUGACAGAGUGCUUGGAUGCAGAGGGAGAGUGAUCUCAGAUUCAUGUCAUCGAGAUCGAGAGGGAGUGUUGAGGUAUACGCUCUCUAUGACAUGAUCCUAGGUAGCAGGAGUGCCACUUCAUUGAUCCAGGUGUAGGCUAGAGGUGUGUCUCUUCAUCAUGUAUAUAUAGCUAUGAUAUAUACGACUAUACUGAGAGUCAUCCACCAUCGUAGCUUCUGCUCUUCUUCUCUUCAUGUGUUAUGAAAUGGGGACUCCCAGCCUUGUGAGUGCAGCAGCGCUCCAUGCUGGGUCCACCUUUAUUGCGGAAGACAGAUCAAGAACAGAAUGUGUUGGGCGUGAUCACCUACAGAACCUAAACGGAUGUGUCCCUUCUGCUGACGUGGCAUCCCAGCUUGAGAUUGCGGCUUAAGUCCUCAACACUCCCACUCGAGCUAAGUUGGGGUCAGCCUCGAGCAACUGCACACCAAGAGCUUGGACAUGCUUGGAGAAUGCAGCUAGGGGCAGAGCUUUUGUGAAAACAUCUGCCACCUGAUCUCCCGUCGCACA